This 253-nucleotide ribosomal RNA is filed under the name uncultured bacterium. RNAcentral describes it as "partial 16S ribosomal RNA". It matches the Rfam family "Bacterial small subunit ribosomal RNA", at positions 524 to 776 of the family's 1533-position model. The record is from RNAcentral.
AACGUAGGUGGCAAGCGUUAUCCGGAUUCACUGGGCGUAAAGGGCACGCAGGCGGCUCGGCAGGUAGGGCAUGAAAUCUCCCGGCUUAACUGGGAGAGGCUGUCCUAAACCGCUGGGCUUGAGGGCGGGAGAGGGAAGUGGAAUUGCCGGUGUAGUGGUGAAAUGCGUAGAGAUCGGCAGGAACACCAGUGGCGAAGGCGACUUCCUGGUCCGCCCCUGACGCUCAUGUGCGAAAGCUAGGGUAGCGAACGGG